AUGAACAGAAUUUAUCGCCACGCUCAACCAAACAAUGCAGCAGGCCACGAGAGAUCGGUAGGCCACGAAGUGGAAAUUCUCUGCUCCAUUCUCUACUGCUCUCAAUCUGAUCAAAUCAAGCUCAUCAGACCGACAACACAACUCAAAAGGGCACAACAAAGAGAGGAGGAAAAUGAAACGAGAGGAGGUGAGAGUACACACAGGAGAGUGAGCGAGUGAGAGAGGCAGGAGGGGGCAGAGUCAAGAGGAACAACUACAACAACAUCAAGACCGAGAGACGGAACGGAGAACGGCACCACCAACACAGACACAGCCCGACCAAAGACAGCAGCCAGCAAGCCUCAAACCUCGCAUCACCACCUCCAUCCCCGUGGCAGCAGCAGCAAGCCACCAGCCGCCGCCGCCGCAGCAGCAGCACCAGCAGCAGCGUGCCUCUCUAACCUUCCUGCCGCCGCGAGAGGAGCUCGUCCCAGCGGCAGCACGUCUCAGCAGCGGCGCCGGGAGACCAGCUGGAGAUCGGUUUCUGCAGCACCUGCCUCCUCUCCUCCUCCGCGCCAGGGGGAGCGCGCGCGUGCGCCAGCCAAGUAAUUUUUGGUGAGUGGGCUGCAUACGUAGAUAAGCAGGACUGGAGGAAGAGUACAAUAUUCUCUGGAUAUCCAGUUGUAGAUAAAUACAUUCUGGUUCAGUUGUAUUUACAUGGAAUCUCUUUUCUGAGAGAUGCCAACAUCUAAGCCACCAUCGGUGCCACCGGCACCAAGCCUGCAACCAUUACCAUCAUCUGCAGUACGACAGAACAGUCGUAUUGACCUUCGUGAGAUCAAGUCCAAGAUUGUUAAGACGAUUGGGCCAGAACGAGCAAAGAAGUACUUUCAACAUCUGGAGAGAUUCUUAUCAUCAAAAUUGAGCAAGAAUGAGUUUGAUAAGCUGUGUCUUGUGGCACUUGGCCGGGAGAACCUCCCAUUGCACAACCACCUCAUCCGUUCCAUUCUUUUCAAUGCCUCUGCAGCGAGUGGUCCACCAGCAAUUAAUGCAUCUAAGAUGGCUGAGGAUGUCACCAAUUCAGAACAUACAAUGGUUCCGCAUGUCUGGAAUGGUGACACUUUGAGCAAGCAUGUCAAAGACAAGCACUCAUUGAGCAGAAAUGCGAACACAUUAACGCAGCAUUCAUCACUGACUCAUGGUGAGACUAUCAAUAGGGAGAAUGGUGCUCCAAAUUUGAUUGGUUUGAAGAGAUAUACACAGCUUCGGCAAAGUGAGCAUGUGGAGCCAUUUACCAAGCGAUCAUGUAUGGGGAAGGCACCAUUGAAUUUUCAUGGCUCUCUACAUAGCAAUGGACCUUCUGCUAUAAAUGCUAGAGAAUCCUUGGGAGAAGAAAUUACACAACAUGCUCAAGUUCCAGUGCAAGCUCCAAUUGGGAUUCAGUUUGGCUCUGCUAAUUUUUGCAAGGCUAAAAAACCUUCAGCCAUUGCUUCUGUCAGUUCAGACAAUAGCUCUAUUUGUUGUUAUGACCUUGGUGAACUAUGUGAUACUUUGUCACUUAGAAAGAAAAUGGAAAAAACAGCACAAAUGGAAGGCUUGGAAGGGGUCUCAGUAGAGUGUGCUGAUUUGUUGAAUAAUGGAGUUGAUGUUUUCUUGAAGCAAUUGAUUGGAUCUUGUGUUGAGCUUGUUGGAGCAAGGUCUCAACAUGGUAAACUAAGCCAUGCGGCAUUGAAGCAGCAGUUGGGCCGUAAGAUAGUAAAUGGUGUAUCACUGCAAAAUCAUACCCAUGUGCAGGGUGGCAUUAUACCUCCAGGGACCAAGUCAAUCUCAAUGCAAGACUUAAAGGCAGUGUCAGAGCUAAACCCUAGUCUGCUUGGGGUCAAUGCAUCAGGGCUACUUGAAAAGAUCAAUUCACAUGACUAAUUGGAUGGAGCAAGUUGGGUUUUUCACAUUGCAAGAUUGUACCAACUUGAUGGUGUCUCUUGCUUCAUGGCCUUUGUAUUCAGGUCAUAACUUACUGAGGGUGGUGAAACCUGGAGAAGGCAGGCAGACUUUCUAGUUUGUACAGUAUGCUGAUAAUGCUGUAUCUAAUAUCCUGCACAAAUUUUGAAAUAAGCAAAGUUCUGAUUAUCUUCUAGAAGGCUAGAGGCUGUAUAAUAGACCCAUCCGUUGUCUGCAUCCAAGCACCAGUAAAGAGGCAUAAGUGCUUAACAGAACUAUGGUGCAGGGCUCCAAAUGAAUUGAUGAGCCAUGACUCUUUAUGCUGGUGUGGUUCUGCAAUUGGUACUUGGCUGUUUUCCUUGGAUGAAGUUGUAACCUGUGCUAAACUGGCCAUUUGUCAAGAACAGGAGCCUCCAGGAACCCAUGCUGAUGGCACCAAAUCUGUAAAUGGGCCAACAUCAAGGAUCUGCCAAAGUCGUGUUUUAUUGUCUGCGGCGAAUGUAUCUGGCAGAGGAUGCAAAGACGGCACAGAGCAGAAUUCGGUCGCUAUUUCCCUGGAGCUGGCUGCCUAUUGGAAAGAAGUGGAAGGGCCUCUUAUCCCCAUGGUACAGAUGAUGGGUUUUUGGUCUCUAUUUACCUCCUGACCUGACAGUUGCAAGAAAAUUGCAAUCCCAGUUGUACGUCCCGUGGAGCUUUCACAUACAGAAGAGAUGCAGUAAGAAGCCCCCCCGCCCAACGAUCAAUACUGAUACUGACUGCCGUGCAGGCGUCCUCAGAGCUGUACAAUCAUUGUAAUAUGUGUAGCAUUACUCUAGCGAAAUCAUCCGUGCAAAAAUGUGUGCCAUCAGUCAUGACCAUGCGCAACACGAGUGCGGAAAUUUCACAAAUCUAACAUGUGUGGCAUCAGUUGUGACCAUGCCUCUCAAACGGCCCUCUGUGGUAGGAAAUAUGAUGAGACGUAGUGUUUCACGAUCACGAGGAGGUUGGGCGGAAGAUGCAAGUUUCCCCAGGUUAUGUUUGGUUCUGUAGCCCUGAACUUGUAUGCUUGGGCCUCACCCCUGCGAUCAACUUUUGCUUGGAUGGAUAGAUGUUGUCGUAGAGUGUCAA
This is an RNA transcript of Aegilops tauschii subsp. strangulata, 3027 nucleotides long. RefSeq lists it as uncharacterized. Lineage: Eukaryota; Viridiplantae; Streptophyta; Magnoliopsida; Poales; Poaceae. The record is from RefSeq and is a predicted model, not a curated record.